This 268-nucleotide unclassified non-coding RNA is filed under the name uncultured fungus. RNAcentral's name for it is "partial contains small subunit ribosomal RNA, internal transcribed spacer 1, and 5.8S ribosomal RNA". The stretch from base 1 to 73 matches the Rfam family "Eukaryotic small subunit ribosomal RNA", at positions 1759 to 1831 of the family's 1831-position model. The record is from RNAcentral. Lineage: Eukaryota; Fungi.
CCAAACUUGGUCAUUUAGAGGAAGUAAAAGUCGUAACAAGGUCUCCGUUGGUGAACCAGCGGAGGGAUCAUUACAAAUUUCUGUGCGCGCUCGGGGAAACCCCUGCGACCGGAAAAACCCAGUGAAUUUACCUCUGUUGCCUCGGUGGGCGAAAGCCUGCCGAUGGAUAUUUUCAUACUCUUUUAUUAAGAAUCAUCUGAUUUAAUUUAAAACCUAUAAAACUUUCAACAACGGAUCUCUUGGCUCCAGCAUCGAUGAAGAACGCAGC